GUAUGUUUGCGUGUUGUUAUGACGACCGAGACGGGUUUUGGUCUCUUUUUCGGCUUUUUCCCUAACAGUUGGUUUAUCGGGCAAAUGGGCUGAUAACUCAGCAUCCGUAUAUCGGAAUCGAGUCCCGUAAGUUGCAACGCAUGACUAAUGUCUAUACGGUGCUAUGUGUGUGUUUGUGUGUCGUUCGGACGACCGAGGUGGG
RNAcentral lists this long non-coding RNA (202 nucleotides) under Panax ginseng (ginseng). RNAcentral's name for it is "long non-coding RNA (PGIN_LNC002284)". The record is from RNAcentral. Lineage: Eukaryota; Viridiplantae; Streptophyta; Magnoliopsida; Apiales; Araliaceae.